RNAcentral lists this long non-coding RNA (220 nucleotides) under Brassica napus (rape). RNAcentral's name for it is "long non-coding RNA (BNAP_LNC016334)". The record is from RNAcentral. Lineage: Eukaryota; Viridiplantae; Streptophyta; Magnoliopsida; Brassicales; Brassicaceae.
AUGCCAUGGUGAGGAGUUUUGGCAUCUUCAAAUGUCCUAGCAUCUCCUCAAUGUCAGAUUCAAGACCCAACUCCUUCAGCAGAUCAAGGUCGGCGAACCUGGUUGGAGUCCAAGUGACCCCAUUCUUCAAGUGAUCAUACAGCUCCUCCACAGAUGGAGUUUUCGCCCUAUCUUGAUCAACCGCAACCCCUUUGCCUUUGGACAUCUUGGCUUUCUUCGU